GACGAACGCUGGCGGCGUGCUUAACACAUGCGAGUCGAACGGAAAGGCCCCCAUCUUGGUGGGGGUGCUCGAGUGGCGAACGGGUGAGUAACACGUGGGUGAUCUGCCCUGUACUUCGGGAUAAGCUUGGGAAACUGGGUCUAAUACCGGAUAGGACCAUGGUUUAGUGUCUCAUGGUGGAAAGACUAUUGUUUUGGUGCAGGAUGAGCUCGCGGCCUAUCAGCUUGUUGGUGGGGUAAUGGCCUACCAAGGCGUCGACGGGUAGCCGGCCUGAGAGGGUGGACGGCCACAGUGGGGUGGAGUACCGACCCGGCCCCCUACGGGAGGCAGGGGGGGGGAAUGUGGAAAAAGGGGCGCAGGCCGGAGGCGCCGCCGCCGGGGGGGGGAGGCCGGCUUUGGGGUUGUAACCUCUUUUCGUUAGGGACGAAGCCCCGUUUUUUGGGGGGGGUGACGGUACUUUGGUAAAGAAGCCCCGGCUAACUACGUG
This 487-nucleotide ribosomal RNA is filed under the name uncultured bacterium. RNAcentral describes it as "partial 16S ribosomal RNA". It matches the Rfam family "Bacterial small subunit ribosomal RNA", at positions 28 to 507 of the family's 1533-position model. The record is from RNAcentral.